This 267-nucleotide ribosomal RNA is filed under the name uncultured archaeon. RNAcentral describes it as "partial 16S ribosomal RNA". It matches the Rfam family "Archaeal small subunit ribosomal RNA", at positions 717 to 982 of the family's 1478-position model. The record is from RNAcentral.
ACACGACUACAUUAGAUACCCGGGUAGUCCCAGCCCUAAACGAUGCGCGUUAGGUGUAUCGGUGACCACGAGUCACCGAGGUGCCGAAGGGAAACCGUGAAACGUGCCGCCUGGGAAGUACGGUCGCAAGGCUGAAACUUAAAGGAAUUGGCGGGGGAGCACCACAAGAGGUGGAGGCUGCGGUUCAAUUGGACUCAACGCCGGAAAACUCAUCGGGAGCGACAGCAGUAUGAUUGCCAGGUUGAUGACCUUGUUCUUGACAAGCUG